Molecule: small RNA, 397 nt
Filed under: Histoplasma capsulatum
Lineage: Eukaryota; Fungi; Ascomycota; Eurotiomycetes; Onygenales; Ajellomycetaceae
Also listed under: 1 other name
Description: hypothetical RNA
Source: RNAcentral
GGAUGCAUUUAUCCGAUCUUACUGGUGACCCGGAGUAUGGCAAACUUGCCUCAAAAGGCGAAUCAUAUCUUCUUGCCCCAAAGCCACAGGAAAGCGAACCCUUUCCGGGGCUUAUUGGAUCAAAUAUUAAUAUAACCACUGGACAUUUCGUGAAUGCGGAUGUCAGCUGGGGUGGAGGUGCCGACUCCUUCUACGAAUACUUAAUCAAAAUGUUUGUAUAUGAUGAGAGUCGUUUUGAAGUUUACCGAGACAGAUGGGUUCUUGCGAUCGAAUCGUCAAUUAAACAUUUGAAAUCUACGAUAUCUUCGAACAAAAACGAAUAUACUUAUCUAGCUGGAUUUGAAAACGACAAACUUGACUUCAAUUCCCAGCAUCUAACUUGCUUCAACGGCGGAAA